This 216-nucleotide ribosomal RNA is filed under the name uncultured bacterium. RNAcentral's name for it is "partial 16S ribosomal RNA". It matches the Rfam family "Bacterial small subunit ribosomal RNA", at positions 118 to 351 of the family's 1533-position model. The record is from RNAcentral.
UGGGAACGUACCCUUUGGUUCGGAACAACCCAGGGAAACUUGGGCUAAUAACCGGAUAAGUCCGUAAGGAGAAAGAUUUAUCGCCAAAGGAUCGGCCCGCGUCUGAUUAGCUAGUUGGUAGGGUAAUGGCUACCAAGGCUACGAUCAGUAGCUGGUCUGAGAGGAUGAUCAGCCACAUUGGGACUGAGACACGGCCCAAACUCCUACGGGAGGCAG